RNAcentral lists this ribosomal RNA (253 nucleotides) under uncultured bacterium. RNAcentral describes it as "partial 16S ribosomal RNA". It matches the Rfam family "Bacterial small subunit ribosomal RNA", at positions 524 to 776 of the family's 1533-position model. The record is from RNAcentral.
CACGUAGGGGGCGAGCGUUGUUCGGAAUUACUGGGCGUAAAGGGCAUGUAGGCGGUUUGGUAAGCCUGACGUGAAAGGCUAUGGCUCAACCAUGGCAUGGCGUUGGGAACUGCUAGACUUGAAUCACGGAGAGGGAGCUGGAAUUCCAGGUGUAGGGGUGAAAUCUGUAGAUAUCUGGAAGAACACCAGUGGCGAAGGCGAGCUCCUGGCCGAUGAUUGACGCUGAGGUGCGAAAGUGUGGGGAUCAAACAGG